RNAcentral lists this transfer RNA (74 nucleotides) under Morus notabilis. It matches the Rfam family "tRNA". From Rfam's summary of the family: Transfer RNA (tRNA) molecules are approximately 80 nucleotides in length. Their secondary structure includes four short double-helical elements and three loops (D, anti-codon, and T loops). The record is from Rfam by way of RNAcentral. Lineage: Eukaryota; Viridiplantae; Streptophyta; Magnoliopsida; Rosales; Moraceae.
GCUUUUAUAGCUCAGUUGGUUAGAGCACCCAUUUAGUAAGCAGGAGGGAUUGAGUUUGACUCUCUAUGAAAGCA